CUAGGGAAUUUAGUCUCUCUUAUCACUAAAUCCAACUGUGUGUGGGGGGGGAGUAGCCUCAUUUAUGUGAACAUAAAUGAGUUCUUAUAAAUGAGGAUAUCAUAUAUCCAUUCAUUUAACCAAAAUUUACAGAGUGCCUACCGUAUGCCAGUCAGGGGUGAAGUGGACAGAGAUCUCUGUCUUGUGGCACUCUUAUUCUAAAGGGGGCAUUCAGCAAAUCAGGAAACAAAUGAGACAUUUUUUCUUUUUUUUUGGCCAUCCCGGGGACUUGCGGGAUCUUAGUUCCCCGACCAGGGAUCGAACCUGAGUCCCCUGCAUUGGGAGCGCAGAGUCUUAACCGCUGGACCACCAGGAAAGUCCCCAUGUUUUUGUUUGUUUGUUUGUUUUGCCAAUAAGACUAUAUCUGAUGGAGGUAAGUGUGGAGAUGAAAACCAGGUGUGUGAUGUGACAGAGAACGGCCAUUCAGGGGGAGGCACCAAACAUUCUCUACUGUGGCUGAUAUUCCCAGGCAGGAGUGAAAGAAGAUAUCCAUCAGACAACUAUGAACUUCUGUCUCAUUACCUGGCCGCGCAGCCUGUGGCCGCUUGUGCUCACGGCGACCACGAAGGGAUCCGGAGUGGACUUCUCUCCUUCACCUGAACUCUACGAGGAACUGGAGCCUUGGUACCAGCAGAGGCCCCUGGCACUCGUCUGCCUCCUUGGAGAGUCCAGAUGAAUUUGGGGGACGUGGAUUCAAGCCCUGGUCCGGGAAGAUCCCACAUGCCGCGGAGCAACUAAGCCCGUGCACCACAACUACUGAGCCUGCGCUCUAGAGCCCGCGAGCCACAACUACUGAGCCCACGUGCCACAACUAUUGAAGUCCGUGCGCCUAGAGCCCGUGCUCUGCAACAAGAGAAGCCACCGAAAUGAGAAGCCCA
Globicephala melas (long-finned pilot whale) is the source of this 917-nucleotide long non-coding RNA. RefSeq lists it as uncharacterized. The record is from RefSeq and is a predicted model, not a curated record. Lineage: Eukaryota; Metazoa; Chordata; Mammalia; Artiodactyla; Delphinidae.